AAUCAACGCUGGCGGCGUGCCUAACACAUGCAAGUCGAACGAGAAGCAUCCUUCGGGAUGUGGACAGUGGCAGACGGGUGAGUAACGCGUGGGAAUUUACCAAGAGGUACGGGACAACCACUGGAAACGGUGGCUAAUACCGUAUGAGCCCCUUCGGAUGGUACCGGAUGGGGGAAAGAUUUAUCGCCUUUUGAUGAGCCCGCGUUGGAUUAGUUUGUUGGUGAGGUAAUGGCUCACCAAGACUACGAUCUAUAGCUGUUCUGAGAGGAAGAUCAGCCACACUGGGACUGAGACACGGCCCAGACUCCUACGGGAGGCAGCAGUGGGGAAUCUUGCACAAUGGGCGAAAGCCUGAUGCAGCCAUGCCGCGUGAGUGAAGAAGGCCUUAGGGUUGUAAAGCUCUUUCGCUAGGGAAGAUAAUGACGGUACCUAGUAAAGAAGCCCCGCUAACU
Molecule: ribosomal RNA, 452 nt
Filed under: uncultured bacterium
Lineage: Bacteria
Description: bacterial SSU rRNA
Rfam family: Bacterial small subunit ribosomal RNA
Source: RNAcentral